This 400-nucleotide ribosomal RNA is filed under the name uncultured bacterium. Its description in RNAcentral is "bacterial SSU rRNA". It matches the Rfam family "Bacterial small subunit ribosomal RNA", at positions 356 to 773 of the family's 1533-position model. The record is from RNAcentral.
GGGGAAUAUUGGACAAUGGGGGCAACCCUGAUCCAGCCAUGCCGCGUGAGUGAUGAAGGCCUUCGGGUUGUAAAGCUCUUUUGGCGGGGACGAUGAUGACGGUACCCGCAGAAUAAGCCCCGGCUAACUUCGUGCCAGCAGCCGCGGUAAGACGAAGGGGGCUAGCGUUGUUCGGAAUUACUGGGCGUAAAGCGAGUGUAGGUGGUUGUCAUAGUCAGGUGUGAAAGCCUUGAGCUCAACUCAAGAAAUGCACUUAAUACUGGGCGACUAGAGGACCGGAGAGGAUAGUGGAAUUCCCAGUGUAGUGGUGAAAUACGUAGAUAUUGGGAAGAACACCAGUGGCGAAGGCGGCUAUCUGGACGGUUUCUGACACUAAGACUCGAAAGCGUGGGGAGCAAAC